UUGCCCACCUGGAGCUCCCGGUGCACCACGUGGCCAGAACAGAGGGGUAAAGCAGCUUUCUCUCUCAAACCCGGGCCAGACCAUCCCCGCCUCUGCCCCGGAUCCUGUCGUGAGAAACAGGC
Molecule: small nucleolar RNA, 122 nt
Organism: Sarcophilus harrisii (Tasmanian devil)
Lineage: Eukaryota; Metazoa; Chordata; Mammalia; Dasyuromorphia; Dasyuridae
Source: Ensembl